GGCGACUUAGCCAAGCGGUCUAAGGCGCCAGACUAAGGUUAUGUAAUUAUCACGUAAUAAUCUGGUUCUUCGGAGCGUGGGUUCGAAUCCCACAGUCGUCA
Non-coding RNA from Ceratobasidium sp. 394, 101 nucleotides. Lineage: Eukaryota; Fungi; Basidiomycota; Agaricomycetes; Cantharellales; Ceratobasidiaceae. The record is from the annotation of a GenBank genome assembly.